Molecule: unclassified non-coding RNA, 272 nt
Filed under: plant metagenome
Description: partial contains small subunit ribosomal RNA, internal transcribed spacer 1, and 5.8S ribosomal RNA
Source: RNAcentral
UUUCCGUAGGUGAACCUGCGGAAGGAUCAUUAAUGAGUUGUCAUGGGGUUCGAUGCUGGCAGCCAGUUUUUGGAUGCAUGUGCUUGCCCUAACAAUCAUCUUCUUCCAAACACCUGUGCACAUUUUUGAGGGAGUCUUGAGUUGGUUGCCGCUCUUGGGUGAUUUUCUCACAUUCCCUUAAAUCAUUAUACGCUAUUAACAAUGUUGAACGUGCUCUGUGUCGCAAGGCCAUUAAUAUAAUACAACUUUUAACAACGGAUCUCUUGGCUCUC